AUUGAACGCUGGCGGCAGGCCUAACACAUGCAAGUCGAGCGGAUGAAGGGAGCUUGCUUCUGGAUUCAGCGGCGGACGGGUGAGUAAUGCCUAGGAAUCUGCCUUGUAGUGGGGGAUAACGUCCGGAAACGGGCGCUAAUACCGCAUACGUCCUGAGGUAGAAAGUGGGGGAUCUUCGGACCUCACGCUAUCAGAUGAGCCUAGGUCGGAUUGGUUAGUUGGUGGGGUAAAGGCCUACCAAGGCGAGGACCCGUAACUGGCCGGCGAGGAUGAUCAGUCACACUGGAACUGAGACACGGUCCAGACUCCUACGGGAGGCAGCAGUGGGGAAUAUUGGACAAUGGGCGAAAGCCUGAUCCAGCCAUGCCGCGUGUGUGAAGAAGGUCUUCGGAUUGUAAAGCACUUUAAGUUGGGAGGAAGGGCAGUAAGUUAAUACCUUGCUGUUCUGACGGUACCAACAGAAUAAGCACCGGCUAACUUCGUG
RNAcentral lists this ribosomal RNA (484 nucleotides) under uncultured bacterium. Its description in RNAcentral is "partial 16S ribosomal RNA". It matches the Rfam family "Bacterial small subunit ribosomal RNA", at positions 30 to 507 of the family's 1533-position model. The record is from RNAcentral.